AGAACGACUCUCGGCAACGGAUAUCUCGGCUCUCGCAUCGAUGAAGAACGUAGCGAAAUGCGAUACUUGGUGUGAAUUGCAGAAUCCCGUGAACCAUCGAGUCUUUGAACGCAAGUUGCGCCCCAAGCCUUCGGGCCGAGGGCACGUCUGCCUGGGUGUCACGCA
Molecule: ribosomal RNA, 165 nt
Filed under: Thymelaea passerina
Lineage: Eukaryota; Viridiplantae; Streptophyta; Magnoliopsida; Malvales; Thymelaeaceae
Description: 5.8S ribosomal RNA
Rfam family: 5.8S ribosomal RNA
About the family: 5.8S ribosomal RNA (5.8S rRNA) is a component of the large subunit of the eukaryotic ribosome.
Source: RNAcentral